CUGCUCAUGGUGUAAUGGUUUCAAUGUUGGACUGCGGAUCUGGAGACCAGGGUUCGAUUCCCUGUUCACUGG
Phrynosoma platyrhinos (Desert horned lizard) is the source of this 72-nucleotide non-coding RNA. The record is from the annotation of a GenBank genome assembly. Lineage: Eukaryota; Metazoa; Chordata; Lepidosauria; Squamata; Phrynosomatidae.